This 185-nucleotide ribosomal RNA is filed under the name Bacteroidales bacterium. Its description in RNAcentral is "partial 23S ribosomal RNA". It matches the Rfam family "Bacterial large subunit ribosomal RNA", at positions 2724 to 2925 of the family's 2925-position model. The record is from RNAcentral. Lineage: Bacteria; Pseudomonadati; Bacteroidota; Bacteroidia; Bacteroidales.
UGGCGCCAGCUGCACCGCCGGGUAUCCACGUUCGGUCAGGAUAAGCGCUGAAAGCAUCUAAGCGCGAAGCCGUCUUCAAGAUGAGACAUCUAUGAGGGUCGUGGGAGACUACCACGUUGAUAGGCAGGAGGUCUAAAGGCAGCAAUGUCAAAGCCGACCUGUACUAAUAGCCCGACAUCUUCCUC